Vigna radiata var. radiata (mung bean) is the source of this 915-nucleotide long non-coding RNA. RefSeq lists it as uncharacterized. The transcript has 3 exons. Lineage: Eukaryota; Viridiplantae; Streptophyta; Magnoliopsida; Fabales; Fabaceae. The record is from RefSeq and is a predicted model, not a curated record.
UCGGUUAAGCUGUAGCCUGAGGCAUAUAACUUUAAUUUUAAAUUUUUUUUAAGCCUUUAGACACCGGUUUUUCUUUUAACCAGGUCAGUAGCCCUUUGUUAGGUCUGAGAAAACUUAAAAGUUACUUUCUUCCUCGUGCUCUGGUUUCUUCCUUUCUCUCUCACAUUUUCUUUUUCUCCGUUGGUGCCUCCUUGCUGCCGCCGCUGCUGCCUCUCUGGUGCUGCCGUUGCUGCCUCCCUGGUGCCGCCGUUGCUGCCUCCGGUGCUUCGUCCAAGGAGUCCACAGUGACGCCUCCCCCGCCGCUUCUCGUCGCUCCUUCGUCGCGUGCUCGCCCCUCUGUCGCGUGCUUGCCCCUCUUCGUCGCUCCUUCUAUCGCGUUUCUCUCACUGCGUCAAAGGCCGCGGCGCCACAGUUCAUCCACGCCGGCGUCUCCAUUGGGUUUGGUCUUCCUUGCGGUUUCAUGGACGAAGUACGAAGAGGUUGUUGGAGAUGAAGGAACUCUCUAUUUGGCUCACGGUGGUGAUGGUGGUUGGAUGAUUGAUGGAGGCAUUGCAUGAGGAGGAUGAUGAAUUGGGUUCUUGGCUAGGUGUUUUUGCAGGUCUGGAAAAUUUUUUUGAUGAUGGACGAAGAAGAUGGUGGUUCGGAAAUUGGGUGGCAGGGCGAUUCUCGCGAAGGACGAAGGUGGUCUAUGGUGGUGUUUUGGGUGGUCCGAUGCGAGAAAGAUGAACCUGCAAUGGGAGAUCAUGGUGGCACAUGGUCGUGUUGGCGGUGUGUGGAGUGAAAGAUAUUCAAAAUGAACAAAGGUGCAAAUAUGGCGAUCUCGUGGUGGUCAGCGGCGUGACCAUACUGCCUCGGUUCCUUUUGAACGGAGGUCAAAUUCUACAUCGUUUUGACUUGGUUCACAGCCGAGGCAUA